RNAcentral lists this long non-coding RNA (1455 nucleotides) under Zea mays. RNAcentral describes it as "drought responsive lncRNA". Lineage: Eukaryota; Viridiplantae; Streptophyta; Magnoliopsida; Poales; Poaceae. The record is from RNAcentral.
CCGGCAACAGCUUCUGCAUCCGCGACCACCGCCCGCCCCCCUCCCCCGAGAUAUGCGCCGGUGUCUUCCACUCCGUCCCUGGGCCAACCGGGUGGUGGUGUCAGCGCCGGUGUCUUCCUCUCCGUCCCUGGGCUUGGGUUUCCAUGGCGGUGGCGAGGGUAACGCCGACCUCAGCCCUAUUACUCGGAGGUCCAACCAGAUAGCCUUUUGUACUUCUACAGUGCUGCGAGAGCAAGGAGAGUAGGAGCCCAAAGCCCCAAACGCUCUUUGUUUCGCUCUGCGUGCAUGCACGCGUGUUCGAUGCAUUAGGACGGACUUUGAAGAGGCUAGAGCAACAGUUACCGUGUAGUUAAUCUAGCUGUUGUAUCUAACUUAGAUAUCAGGCUGCUGAAAUUGCUUAAAGACCAUUAAUAUCUCUGAUAUCAUGGACUGUUAUUUCCUUUCCAUUCUGAAGAUGCAAGGUCAAUUCCCUCACUCCAUCAAGCAAAUGUGUUUACUUAUGAGAUUGAGAUGCGAGCUUAAGUUGCUCACAGUAUUCAAAUAAAAUCACCUACUUAUUUUGCUCCUGAAGUAAACCAUGGGCGAUUCUCUUCAUUAGUUCAAACAAACACAUCUACUCAUGUACCCUUUUCUGGUGGAGCUAGAGAACAACAAGUUCACUUUACUCCUCAACCAAACCAAGUAAGAAACCACUUCAUUUUCUCACUUCUGAGAGUUCUUUGCCAAAGAAAGUACGUGAAUCUAUGAAUUAAUCAUGAUAUUUGAUAUUUGAUAGUUGAAUCUGUUUGUAUUGAUCUUGAGCAUUAUGAUAUUCUGAACUGAGAUAGUUCAUUACUUGUCCUAGCACUUUCCAUCGCUGCAUUAUAUUUUAUCCGCCAGCUUAUAUCUUUCACUGCCCUUUCUCUUGGUAAUGGUUAAGCCAUCUGAGGCUGAAAAGAACUUAGCUCAGGCAAAUGUGACAUCAGGUGGUGCCGCUUCAGGUGGAGCAAGAAAGUUGUAUGUUGGCAAUCUUCACUCAAAUAUUACCGAAGACCAAUUGAGAUAGAUGUGGGUCCGACCCAUGCUCCAAUGUCGUUGCCUCCUAUGAGCUCUUGGUCCCAUGAGCUGCAUGUGGGCCAUCCUCGUCGUAUCAGCACUAUGCCCCUGCUGGCCGGCUGCGUAGCGAACACACAGAGGAACGCUAAAUGUAGCACGUGUAGACAGCGUCCGGUAUUUUACCGAAGGCUUUACCGUCUGUUGCUGGACCAGCAAUAGAGCUCGGCGUCCUGUAAAUUUGGCGGACAGGACCACAUACAGGUCCUUGUUGGACACAGUCUUAGUCCUGUGAGUUCCAGGUUUUCGCUUGUGGUACCUAUGAACAUGAAACCUGUUUACUUUGAGGAAUGUACUUUAUUUCCAUCUUAAGUUAGUCUAUUCAAACGGAAUAUGGAUAUAUUAACCGAAAUUUUCUGCAGU